AACGAACGCUGGCGGCAGGCCUAACACAUGCAAGUCGAGCGGACCUUUCGGGGUCAGCGGCGGACGGGUGAGUAACGCGUGGGAAUAUGCCCUUCUCUACGGAAUAGUCCUGGGAAACUGGGGGUAAUACCGUAUACGCCCUUUGGGGGAAAGAUUUAUCGGGGAAGGAUUAGCCCGCGUUGGAUUAGGUAGUUGGUGGGGUAAUGGCCUACCAAGCCGACGAUCCAUAGCUGGUUUGAGAGGAUGAUCAGCCACACUGGGACUGAGACACGGCCCAGACUCCUACGGGAGGCAGCAGUGGGGAAUCUUAGACAAUGGGGGCAACCCUGAUCUAGCCAUGCCGCGUGAGUGAUGAAGGCCUUAGGGUUGUAAAGCUCUUUCAGCUGGGAAGAUAAUGACGGUACCAGCAGAAGAAGCCCCGGCUAACUCCGU
This 432-nucleotide ribosomal RNA is filed under the name uncultured bacterium. RNAcentral describes it as "partial 16S ribosomal RNA". It matches the Rfam family "Bacterial small subunit ribosomal RNA", at positions 29 to 506 of the family's 1533-position model. The record is from RNAcentral.